RNAcentral lists this ribosomal RNA (2925 nucleotides) under Staphylococcus aureus. RNAcentral's name for it is "bacterial LSU rRNA". It matches the Rfam family "Bacterial large subunit ribosomal RNA". The record is from RNAcentral. Lineage: Bacteria; Bacillati; Bacillota; Bacilli; Caryophanales; Staphylococcaceae.
AGAUUAAGUUAUUAAGGGCGCACGGUGGAUGCCUUGGCACUAGAAGCCGAUGAAGGACGUUACUAACGACGAUAUGCUUUGGGGAGCUGUAAGUAAGCUUUGAUCCAGAGAUUUCCGAAUGGGGAAACCCAGCAUGAGUUAUGUCAUGUUAUCGAUAUGUGAAUACAUAGCAUAUCAGAAGGCACACCCGGAGAACUGAAACAUCUUAGUAACCGGAGGAAGAGAAAGAAAAUUCGAUUCCCUUAGUAGCGGCGAGCGAAACGGGAAGAGCCCAAACCAACAAGCUUGCUUGUUGGGGUUGUAGGACACUCUAUACGGAGUUACAAAGGACGACAUUAGACGAAUCAUCUGGAAAGAUGAAUCAAAGAAGGUAAUAAUCCUGUAGUCGAAAAUGUUGUCUCUCUUGAGUGGAUCCUGAGUACGACGGAGCACGUGAAAUUCCGUCGGAAUCUGGGAGGACCAUCUCCUAAGGCUAAAUACUCUCUAGUGACCGAUAGUGAACCAGUACCGUGAGGGAAAGGUGAAAAGCACCCCGGAAGGGGAGUGAAAUAGAACCUGAAACCGUGUGCUUACAAGUAGUCAGAGCCCGUUAAUGGGUGAUGGCGUGCCUUUUGUAGAAUGAACCGGCGAGUUACGAUUUGAUGCAAGGUUAAGCAGUAAAUGUGGAGCCGUAGCGAAAGCGAGUCUGAAUAGGGCGUUUAGUAUUUGGUCGUAGACCCGAAACCAGGUGAUCUACCCUUGGUCAGGUUGAAGUUCAGGUAACACUGAAUGGAGGACCGAACCGACUUACGUUGAAAAGUGAGCGGAUGAACUGAGGGUAGCGGAGAAAUUCCAAUCGAACCUGGAGAUAGCUGGUUCUCUCCGAAAUAGCUUUAGGGCUAGCCUCAAGUGAUGAUUAUUGGAGGUAGAGCACUGUUUGGACGAGGGGCCCCUCUCGGGUUACCGAAUUCAGACAAACUCCGAAUGCCAAUUAAUUUAACUUGGGAGUCAGAACAUGGGUGAUAAGGUCCGUGUUCGAAAGGGAAACAGCCCAGACCACCAGCUAAGGUCCCAAAAUAUAUGUUAAGUGGAAAAGGAUGUGGCGUUGCCCAGACAACUAGGAUGUUGGCUUAGAAGCAGCCAUCAUUUAAAGAGUGCGUAAUAGCUCACUAGUCGAGUGACACUGCGCCGAAAAUGUACCGGGGCUAAACAUAUUACCGAAGCUGUGGAUUGUCCUUUGGACAAUGGUAGGAGAGCGUUCUAAGGGCGUUGAAGCAUGAUCGUAAGGACAUGUGGAGCGCUUAGAAGUGAGAAUGCCGGUGUGAGUAGCGAAAGACGGGUGAGAAUCCCGUCCACCGAUUGACUAAGGUUUCCAGAGGAAGGCUCGUCCGCUCUGGGUUAGUCGGGUCCUAAGCUGAGGCCGACAGGCGUAGGCGAUGGAUAACAGGUUGAUAUUCCUGUACCACCUAUAAUCGUUUUAAUCGAUGGGGGGACGCAGUAGGAUAGGCGAAGCGUGCGAUUGGAUUGCACGUCUAAGCAGUAAGGCUGAGUAUUAGGCAAAUCCGGUACUCGUUAAGGCUGAGCUGUGAUGGGGAGAAGACAUUGUGUCUUCGAGUCGUUGAUUUCACACUGCCGAGAAAAGCCUCUAGAUAGAAAAUAGGUGCCCGUACCGCAAACCGACACAGGUAGUCAAGAUGAGAAUUCUAAGGUGAGCGAGCGAACUCUCGUUAAGGAACUCGGCAAAAUGACCCCGUAACUUCGGGAGAAGGGGUGCUCUUUAGGGUUAACGCCCAGAAGAGCCGCAGUGAAUAGGCCCAAGCGACUGUUUAUCAAAAACACAGGUCUCUGCUAAACCGUAAGGUGAUGUAUAGGGGCUGACGCCUGCCCGGUGCUGGAAGGUUAAGAGGAGUGGUUAGCUUCUGCGAAGCUACGAAUCGAAGCCCCAGUAAACGGCGGCCGUAACUAUAACGGUCCUAAGGUAGCGAAAUUCCUUGUCGGGUAAGUUCCGACCCGCACGAAAGGCGUAACGAUUUGGGCACUGUCUCAACGAGAGACUCGGUGAAAUCAUAGUACCUGUGAAGAUGCAGGUUACCCGCGACAGGACGGAAAGACCCCGUGGAGCUUUACUGUAGCCUGAUAUUGAAAUUCGGCACAGCUUGUACAGGAUAGGUAGGAGCCUUUGAAACGUGAGCGCUAGCUUACGUGGAGGCGCUGGUGGGAUACUACCCUAGCUGUGUUGGCUUUCUAACCCGCACCACUUAUCGUGGUGGGAGACAGUGUCAGGCGGGCAGUUUGACUGGGGCGGUCGCCUCCUAAAAGGUAACGGAGGCGCUCAAAGGUUCCCUCAGAAUGGUUGGAAAUCAUUCAUAGAGUGUAAAGGCAUAAGGGAGCUUGACUGCGAGACCUACAAGUCGAGCAGGGUCGAAAGACGGACUUAGUGAUCCGGUGGUUCCGCAUGGAAGGGCCAUCGCUCAACGGAUAAAAGCUACCCCGGGGAUAACAGGCUUAUCUCCCCCAAGAGUUCACAUCGACGGGGAGGUUUGGCACCUCGAUGUCGGCUCAUCGCAUCCUGGGGCUGUAGUCGGUCCCAAGGGUUGGGCUGUUCGCCCAUUAAAGCGGUACGCGAGCUGGGUUCAGAACGUCGUGAGACAGUUCGGUCCCUAUCCGUCGUGGGCGUAGGAAAUUUGAGAGGAGCUGUCCUUAGUACGAGAGGACCGGGAUGGACAUACCUCUGGUGUACCAGUUGUCGUGCCAACGGCAUAGCUGGGUAGCUAUGUGUGGACGGGAUAAGUGCUGAAAGCAUCUAAGCAUGAAGCCCCCCUCAAGAUGAGAUUUCCCAACUUCGGUUAUAAGAUCCCUCAAAGAUGAUGAGGUUAAUAGGUUCGAGGUGGAAGCAUGGUGACAUGUGGAGCUGACGAAUACUAAUCGAUCGAAGACUUAAUCAAA